CCUGCGGGUGCUACCAUGCAAGUCGAACGGGGUAUGAAUAAUACCUAGUGGCGAACGGGUGAGUAACGCGUGAGCAACCUGACCUUUUGAGGGGGAUAACAACCGGAAACGGUUGCUAAUACCGCAUAAGACCACACUGUCACAUGGCAGAGGGGUCAAAGGAGCAAUCCGCAGAAGGAGGGGCUCGCGUCCCAUUAGAUAGUUGGUGAGGUAACGGCUCACCAAGUCAGCGAUGGGUAGCCGAGCUGAGAGGCUGAUCGGCCACACUGGAACUGAGACACGGUCCAGACUCCUACGGGAGGCAGCAGUGGGGAAUAUUGGGCAAUGGGGGAAACCCUGACCCAGCAACGCCGCGUGAGUGAAGAAGGCCUUCGGGUUGUAAAGCUCUGUCGCAGGGGAAGAAAAAAAUGACGGUACCCUGUGAGGAAGCCCCGGCUAACUACGUGCCAGCAGCCGCGGUAAUACGUAGGGGGCGAGCGUUGUCCGGAAUUACUGGGCGUAAAGGGUGCGUAGGCGGCAUGUUAAGUUGGAUGUGAAAUACCCGGGCUUAACCUGGGGGGUGCAUUCAAAACUGGCAGGCUAGAGUGCAGGAGAGGGAAGCGGAAUUCCUAGUGUAGCGGUGAAAUGCGUAGAUAUUAGGAGGAACACCAGUGGCGAAGGCGGCUUUCUGGACUGUAACUGACGCUGAUGCACGAAAGCGUGGGGAGCAAACAGGAUUAGAUACCCUGGUAGUCCACGCUGUAAACGAUGAAUACUAUGUGUAGGGGGUAUGAACUCCCCCUGUGCCGCAGCUAACGCAAUAAGUAUUCCGCCUGGGGAG
RNAcentral lists this ribosomal RNA (820 nucleotides) under uncultured Clostridium sp. RNAcentral's name for it is "bacterial SSU rRNA". It matches the Rfam family "Bacterial small subunit ribosomal RNA", at positions 36 to 880 of the family's 1533-position model. The record is from RNAcentral. Lineage: Bacteria; Bacillati; Bacillota; Clostridia; Eubacteriales; Clostridiaceae.